AACAUCAUAGAAGUCCUGUUAUACCUCCCUGAAAAUGGCCAAUUGCAUUAUUAAAUUGAAUUGUGGUCUUAAACCAAACUUUUGACAGUUAAGCACAUUUUGAUUGAGUGCAAGCAUCUUAAGGAUAUUAGAUCUAAUCAUUACCGUUGCCAGUCCUUAUAUCAAUUAUUUGCCCAACCGGGUCUAUAUUGUAGAUUAAUAGACUUUCUAAAAGAGAAAAAAUUUUACACAAAAUUUUAAUUAUAUAUUUGUGAUUUUCAUUUGUUUUAUUUUAAUUAUAUAUACAUAAAGUGUUGUGAUAAUUGUUUUUAAUUGAUAAUCUCUGUGAUAUUUGUUUUUAUUUAUGUAUGUAUAGAUUACUAUUAUGAUUAUUAUUUAUGGAAGGGUUUUUGGGUCUAAAUAAGAUGAUCUGCUAAUUUGUGUAAUCCAUUGUUUACAAUGUUCUUAUGAAGAACUGCUCUUGGAAGUUCAUAGCAGAAUUACCAAUUUAGCCACUAAACUAGAGUGCAGACAAUCACUUACAACUGAUGAAAAAUUCGAAAUUGAAUGUAUAUACGGAAUAUUAGGAGUCAUAAGCGUUGAAAUGGAAUAUCAGGACAUAGGUGAUUGUCUGCAGAGCGUACUGGAUAGUUUGGCCCUAGCUUGGAAUAAUUUCGAAGCACAGGCUACGAAAGAGGACGGAACACAAAGAUUUUUAUCAACCUCAACAACAGUAGGUUAUACAGGCCGACCUAGGAUAUUAAUUCCAGCAGAGCAAUUAGAAUAUCUUCUGGUUUUAAAGUGAAAGAAAUUGCAGAUUUAUUCAAAGUAAGUCACAGUACAGUUAAAAGAAGACUGAAGGAAGAAGUACAUCUAACAAAUUAAGCAAUCUUUCCGAUGAGGAUUUAGAUGUUGUGGUUGAAAGUGUGCUAAAAGAUCAUCCAGACAUUGGUUACAGGAGUAUGAAAGGACAUUUAUCAAGUAAAGGAGAACUUGUUCAAGAGGCCAGAAUUAGAGAAUCCAUGCAAAGAGUUGACUUAGAAGGUUGCUUGUUUCGCAGGCUUAAUAUGAAUCCAGUUAAAAGAAGAAAAUAUGAAGUUAGAGCACCAAACUCCCUAUGGCAUAUAGAUGGAUAUCAUAAAUUAAUCGGGUAGGCUAUUUUUAAUCUUUAGAAAUGAAAUGGGGGUUUAACAUCCUACUUUUAUGCACUUUUUGUAUUGGCUAAUGAAGACUGGCAUAAGCCAUGAGGGAAUUUUGCGACAGUCAUCGAUUUUCAACUGUCUGGGUUCUUUAACGUUGCACUCAGGACCUCCGUUUUUCCUCCCACAUCUAGAUGCUAUUCCUCGCCAAGCCCUCGGGUCUGCCGGAUUGGAAAAUCCUGAUCUUUCCCUGACUGCAGAUCGAACCCACGACCUCCUGGUUAGCGAGCAAGCACCUUACUCACUGAGCCACCGCAGAUCAUCAUAUUCUUCAGAACCCAAGGGUACUUUGAAAUAGACCUAAAUCCUGAGAAACUGUAAUUGCAGCCCUGUUUAUGUCAUCUUUUUAAUUACGUUACGGUAUCUACUUUUAGUCUUCAGACUGGAUAAUUUUAUCAACCAACCUUUAAGUUUUCAUAACAUAUUAAUCUAGUUAUUUUAAGAUGGUGGUAUUGAUGGGUACUCCAGGCUGCCUGUAUAUUUAAAAGUAUCUGAUAACAAUAAAGCUGAAACAGUUCUAAGUAGUUUUGAAGAGGCUGUUAAUUUUUAUGGAAUGCCAGAGCGAGUUCGGUCAGAUAAGGGUGGUGAAAAUGUGGGAGUUGCGAAAUUUAUGGUAGAACAACGAGGAGCUGGCAGAGGAAGUCACAUUGCAGGAAGAAGUGUCCAUAAUCAAAGAAUAGAGCGCUUUUAGAGAGACCUCUGGACAGGGUGCAUUGAGCUUUUUUACAACCUUUUCUGUUUCAUGGAAUGUGAAGGUCAUCUUCAACCACCAAACAAUGAGGCACAUUUGAUGGCAUUGCAUUAUGUUUUUUUACCCAGAAUACAGAGACAUGUUGAUAACUUUCGUAAUGCUUUUAUGAGAAGAUCUUUAAGGACUGCUGGGCAGAAGUCUCCAUUACAGUUGUGGAUACAUGGGCAAAUCUUGGAUUCAGCAGAAGAAAUUGAUAAUGAGCAUGUUCUACAUUAUGGAAGUAGUCAAGAAGGUUUACCACUAUUAGCUACUGAUGAAGUAUCCAGUGUUGUCGAAAGUCCUCAAAUUAUUCCACGAGAAAAAUUUGAACAGUUAAAAAUGUUUGUGGACCCCCUCCAUCACUCUGAUUCACAUGGGAUAGACCUGUUUAUUAUGGCACGUGAUUUCUUAGUUCGGUAGUUUUAAUUAAUUCAAUUUGGACUAAGUAACCCUGAAUAAUUUAACAACUCACUGUACAUAUAACUUUAAUUCAAAUUUCAAAUCAACAUGCAGGUAUGUAACUUUGUAUAG
This is a long non-coding RNA of Patella vulgata (common limpet), 2439 nucleotides long. RefSeq lists it as uncharacterized. The record is from RefSeq and is a predicted model, not a curated record. The transcript has 3 exons. NCBI's taxonomy places the organism in Eukaryota, Metazoa, Mollusca, Gastropoda, Patellidae.